This 282-nucleotide long non-coding RNA is filed under the name Physcomitrium patens. Its description in RNAcentral is "long non-coding RNA (PPAT_LNC001878)". Lineage: Eukaryota; Viridiplantae; Streptophyta; Bryopsida; Funariales; Funariaceae. The record is from RNAcentral.
ACAAAUACCACAACAAAAUUCAAUAGCAAUUUCAUCCCACAACUUAAGAUGUCAUCAAAACCCUGAUAGUAGCUUCAAACCUUAGUUUUUAUACAUGCAUGUGUAAUUUUCUUCAUAUCUCACAAACUAAGCACUUAAAUGCCACAAUAUUUUUAUAUAUAGCUUUUUAUCACAAUAAUCUACCUUUUCUAAAAGUUUUUAGUUAAUAAUUUAUUGAAAAACUUAAGAUAUGGCUCCAACCAUUACUAUGAAGAAAAUCACUUACUUACUGCCUUUGAUUUG